AGUGAACGCUGGCGGUAGGCCUAACACAUGCAAGUCGAACGGCAGCACAGUAAGAGCUUGCUCUUACGGGUGGCGAGUGGCGGACGGGUGAGGAAUACAUCGGAAUCUACUUUUUCGUGGGGGAUAACGUAGGGAAACUUACGCUAAUACCGCAUACGACCUACGGGUGAAAGCAGGGGAUCUUCGGACCUUGCGCGAUUGAAUGAACCGAUGUCGGAUUAGCUAGUUGGCGGGGUAAAGGCCCACCAAGGCGACGAUCCGUAGCUGGUCUGAGAGGAUGAUCAGCCACACUGGAACUGGGACACGGUCCAGACUCCUACGGGAGGCAGCAGUGGGGAAUAUUGGACAAUGGGCGCAAGCCUGAUCCAGCCAUACCGCGUGGGUGAAGAAGGCCUUCGGGUUGUAAAGCCCUUUUGUUGGGAAAGAAAAGCAGCAGGUUAAUACCCCGCUGUUCUGACGGUACCCAAAGAAUAAGCACCGGCUAACUUCGUG
Molecule: ribosomal RNA, 492 nt
Filed under: uncultured bacterium
Lineage: Bacteria
Description: partial 16S ribosomal RNA
Rfam family: Bacterial small subunit ribosomal RNA
Source: RNAcentral